Ostrea edulis (European flat oyster) is the source of this 621-nucleotide long non-coding RNA. RefSeq lists it as uncharacterized. Lineage: Eukaryota; Metazoa; Mollusca; Bivalvia; Ostreida; Ostreidae. The transcript has 3 exons. The record is from RefSeq and is a predicted model, not a curated record.
CAGAUUCUGUACCACAUCCUGCCAAAGCUGUUGAUAUGGUAUCAUCUUUUCACUAGGUUGAAGGUCAAGGCCUUGACCCCCAUUCUUAUCCAUGGUUACAGCCCGAUUACCCCGGACAUCCUAUAAAGCUUUAAUAGACACAAGGCAUUAGUUACACUUAUCUUGAGACACAACAGAAAAAGCACUAAUAUGUUUCUAGAUUGACCUACUUACCAGAAGAUGAUGACCGACAGAACACAGGAGAGGUGAUCUAGAUCCACCACUCUAUUUGUUUGCUCGUUGUCAUGGGGCCACGCGCAGUGUCUGGCAGAUGAGGAGAACUCGACACAAGAUGCGGCCAUAGCAGAUCGACACGGGACUGUCUGAAGAAAAACUUUGUGUAAUCAGAUAAAUCUGAUGAUAGCGGGGACAUUCGUGCGAUGUGUGCGUGUUGGUUUCGAGACAAGGGUUUCGGGAUUCGAACAUGUGUUUGGAGUCGGUGAUUAACAUUAGACUGUGAGAACUGGGAUUUCGCUGGUUUGUAGUGAAGCCACUGCACGCCAUUAUUGUUUAUCAUGUUUAUAAUGUAGAAACUUAUGAAAAUGAUUUGAUGCUUGUUCAAGAUUAAAGAUGUAAAAUUUA